ACGCUCGACACCUACUGGAGGCAGCAGUGGGGAAUAUUGGGCAAUGGGCGCAAGCCUGACCCAGCAACGCCGCGUGAAGGAAGAAGGCUUUCGGGUUGUAAACUUCUUUUGUCAGGGAACAGUAGAAGAGGGUACCUGACGAAUAAGCUCCGGCUAACUACGUGCCAGCAGCCGUGGUAAUCUGAGCGGGCGUGGCGAAGGC
Molecule: ribosomal RNA, 202 nt
Filed under: uncultured bacterium
Lineage: Bacteria
Description: partial 16S ribosomal RNA
Rfam family: Bacterial small subunit ribosomal RNA
Source: RNAcentral